UGCUACCUUUUUCUCAAAAAAUAAAAAAUAAAAAAAAUAAAAAAAUAAAAAAAAAUUUAUGUAGGUUCCUGUAAAUAUAGUAAAUAUCAAAUAUAUUUCUGUAAAGUUCAACUUUUAUAUGUUGGCCCUGUAAAAAUUCUAAUAUUUUCAAAUAUUUUCCUCUGAUUUGUAACCGCUAGAGAACGAUUAGAGAACUGUUUAUAUUUUCAAUUUUGCCAUCACAAAUAUGUUACUCCAAAAAUCAUAACAAUAUAAUAUAAGAUGGGCAAAAAUAUCAAAAACUAACUAGAGUUAAGUAUUUAAUCUAUUCUUAACUAAAGUUUUUUAACAGAUUCUUACGACAGGGAUAUAUUUGAAAACAUCAGAACUUUUAUAGGAACAAUAUAUGAAAGUAUAACUUUAUACGGAAAUAUUUACUAUUCACUAUGUUUGCAGAGAGCUGUAUAAAAUUAACCCUUUUUCUAAUAAUCAAUAUAAAAAAAUUUAAAUUUUAUCACAUAAAUACAAU
Molecule: long non-coding RNA, 508 nt
Filed under: Ananas comosus (pineapple)
Lineage: Eukaryota; Viridiplantae; Streptophyta; Magnoliopsida; Poales; Bromeliaceae
Description: long non-coding RNA (ACOM_LNC039473)
Source: RNAcentral